This 605-nucleotide ribosomal RNA is filed under the name uncultured archaeon. Its description in RNAcentral is "bacterial SSU rRNA". It matches the Rfam family "Archaeal small subunit ribosomal RNA", at positions 10 to 621 of the family's 1478-position model. The record is from RNAcentral.
GAUCCUGCCGGACCUGACUGCUAUCGGAUUGAUACUAAGCCAUGCGAGUCAUUGUAGUAAUACAAGGCAGACGGCUCAGUAACGCGUAGUCAACCUAACCUAUGGACGGGAAUAACCUCGGGAAACUGAGUAUAAUGCCCGAUAGAACAUUAUGCCUGGAAUGGUUUAUGUUCCAAAUGAUUUAUCGCCGUAGGAUGGGACUGCGGCCUAUCAGUUUGUUGGUGAGGUAAUGGCCCACCAAGACUAUUACAGGUACGGGCUCUGAGAGGAGUAGCCCGGAGAUGGGUACUGAGACACGGACCCAGGCCCUAUGGGGCGCAGCAGGCGAGAAAACUUUGCAAUGUGCGAAAGCACGACAAGGUUAAUCCGAGUGGUUUCUGCUAAAGGAACCUUUUGUUAGUCCUAGAAACACUAACGAAUAAGGGGUGGGCAAGUUCUGGUGUCAGUCGCCGCGGUAAAACCAGCACCUCAAGUGGUCAGGAUGAUUAUUGGGCCUAAAGCAUCCGUAGCCGGCUCUGUAAGUUUUCGGUUAAGUCUGUACGCUCAACGUACAGGCUGCCGGGAAUACUGCAGAGCUAGGGAGUGGGAGAGGUAGACGGUACUCG